UGGGGAAUAUUGCACAAUGGGCGCAAGCCUGAUGCAGCCAUGCCGCGUGUGUGAAGAAGGCCUUCGGGUUGUAAAGCACUUUCAGCGGGGAGGAAGGCGGUGAGGUUAAUAACCUCAUCGAUUGACGUUACCCGCAGAAGAAGCACCGGCUAACUCCGUGCCAGCAGCCGCGGUAAUACGGAGGGUGCAAGCGUUAAUCGGAAUUACUGGGCGUAAAGCGCACGCAGGCGGUCUGUCAAGUCGGAUGUGAAAUCCCCGGGCUCAACCUGGGAACUGCAUUCGAAACUGGCAGGCUAGAGUCUUGUAGAGGGGGGUAGAAUUCCAGGUGUAGCGGUGAAGUGCGUAGAGAUCUGGAGGAAUACCGGUGGCGAAGGCGGCCCCCUGGACAAAGACUGACGCUCAGGUGCGAAAGCGUGGGGAGCAAACAGG
RNAcentral lists this ribosomal RNA (429 nucleotides) under Chloroflexota bacterium. RNAcentral's name for it is "Chloroflexi bacterium partial 16S ribosomal RNA". It matches the Rfam family "Bacterial small subunit ribosomal RNA", at positions 355 to 776 of the family's 1533-position model. Lineage: Bacteria; Bacillati; Chloroflexota. The record is from RNAcentral.